AGCUCACAGUGAGGCUGAGGAUCUGCUGCCCAGUACACAGGGAUCUGUGGAAAAUGUCUGGACACCACGGGGGACACUGUGGAAGAGGAGGCCAUGGCCAUGGUGGUCAUGGACAUGGACGCGGUCACGGUCAUGGACAUGGACAUGGACAAUGUGGUCAAGGCCAUGGACAUGGACAAUGUGGUCAAGGCCAUGGACAUGGACAAAGUGGAUGCCAUGGAGUGAAGCGCAGGUGCAAGCCCAAGCAUGGACGCAAGCAUAUCAAAUGUCACAAGAAGGGAAAGGAAUGU
Long non-coding RNA from Notothenia coriiceps (black rockcod), 290 nucleotides. RefSeq lists it as uncharacterized. The record is from RefSeq and is a predicted model, not a curated record. The transcript has 3 exons. Lineage: Eukaryota; Metazoa; Chordata; Actinopteri; Perciformes; Nototheniidae.